RNAcentral lists this ribosomal RNA (377 nucleotides) under Vexillum acupictum. RNAcentral's name for it is "partial 12S ribosomal RNA". The record is from RNAcentral. Lineage: Eukaryota; Metazoa; Mollusca; Gastropoda; Neogastropoda; Costellariidae.
UCUUGGAAAUAAAAAGAAAAAUCCUACCAGAGUACUACGAAUAGUAAAAAUUUAAAACUCAAAGAGCUUGGCGGUGCUUUAGACUUUUUAGGGGAACCUGUCUUAUAAUCGACAAUCCACGCUAUACCUGACCUUUUCUUGCAUACAAUUUGUAUACCGUCGUCGUCAGGUAACUUUUAAAAAUUUUAAUAGUUAGCAGAAAAGUUUAAUAAUAAACUUAAACGUCAGAUCAAGGUGCAAUUAAUGAAAAGGACAAGAUGGGUUACAAUUAUAAAAUGAUAAUACGAAAAAUCAGUUGAAAUACUAAUUUAAAGGAGGACUUAAAAGUAAAUUAUUCAUAUAUAUAAAUACUAAUUGAAUAAAGCUCUGAAGCGUGC